GGGUAUAUAGCUUAGUGGUAGAGCACAUGCUUAGCAUGCAUGAGGUCCUGGGUUCAAUCCCCAGUACCUCCU
RNAcentral lists this transfer RNA (72 nucleotides) under Camelus bactrianus (Bactrian camel). It matches the Rfam family "tRNA". From Rfam's summary of the family: Transfer RNA (tRNA) molecules are approximately 80 nucleotides in length. Their secondary structure includes four short double-helical elements and three loops (D, anti-codon, and T loops). The record is from Rfam by way of RNAcentral. RNAcentral also lists the same sequence under 2 other names. Lineage: Eukaryota; Metazoa; Chordata; Mammalia; Artiodactyla; Camelidae.